Molecule: ribosomal RNA, 1279 nt
Filed under: Leifsonia sp.
Lineage: Bacteria; Bacillati; Actinomycetota; Actinomycetes; Micrococcales; Microbacteriaceae
Description: bacterial SSU rRNA
Rfam family: Bacterial small subunit ribosomal RNA
Source: RNAcentral
UGGCGAACGGGUGAGUAACACGUGAGUAACCUGCCCUUGACUCUGGGAUAACCUCCGGAAACGGAAGCUAAUACCGGAUAUGACGUACGGAGGCAUCUCCUGUACGUGGAAAGAACUUCGGUCAAGGAUGGACUCGCGGCCUAUCAGGUAGUUGGUGAGGUAACGGCUCACCAAGCCUACGACGGGUAGCCGGCCUGAGAGGGUGACCGGCCACACUGGGACUGAGACACGGCCCAGACUCCUACGGGAGGCAGCAGUGGGGAAUAUUGCACAAUGGGCGCAAGCCUGAUGCAGCAACGCCGCGUGAGGGAUGACGGCCUUCGGGUUGUAAACCUCUUUUAGUAGGGAAGAAGCGAAAGUGACGGUACCUGCAGAAAAAGCACCGGCUAACUACGUGCCAGCAGCCGCGGUAAUACGUAGGGUGCGAGCGUUGUCCGGAAUUAUUGGGCGUAAAGAGCUCGUAGGCGGUCUGUCGCGUCUGCUGUGAAAACCCGAGGCUCAACCUCGGGCCUGCAGUGGGUACGGGCAGACUAGAGUGCGGUAGGGGAGAAUGGAAUUCCUGGUGUAGCGGUGGAAUGCGCAGAUAUCAGGAGGAACACCGAUGGCGAAGGCAGUUCUCUGGGCCGUAACUGACGCUGAGGAGCGAAAGCGUGGGGAGCGAACAGGAUUUAGAUACCCUGGUAGUCCACGCCGUAAACGUUGGGCGCUAGAUGUGGGGCACCAUUCCACGGUUUCCGUGUCGCAGCUAACGCAUUAAGCGCCCCGCCUGGGGAGUACGGCCGCAAGGCUAAAACUCAAAGGAAUUGACGGGGGGCCCGCACAAGCGGCGGAGCAUGCGGAUUAAUUCGAUGCAACGCGAAGAACCUUACCAAGGCUUGACAUACACGAGAACGCCCUAGAAAUAGGGAACUCUUUGGACACUCGUGAACAGCUGGUGCAUGGUUGUCGUCAGCUCGUGUCGUGAGAUGUUGGGUUAAGUCCCGCAACGAGCGCAACCCUCGUUCUAUGUUGCCAGCGCGUAAUGGCGGGAACUCAUAGGAGACUGCCGGGGUCAACUCGGAGGAAGGUGGGGAUGACGUCAAAUCAUCAUGCCCCUUAUGUCUUGGGCUUCACGCAUGCUACAAUGGCCGGUACAAAGGGCUGCAAUACCGUAAGGUGGAGCGAAUCCCAAAAAGCCGGUCUCAGUUCGGAUUGAGGUCUGCAACUCGACCUCAUGAAGUCGGAGUCGCUAGUAAUCGCAGAUCAGCAACGCUGCGGUGAAUACGUUCCCGGGCCUUGU